This 1379-nucleotide ribosomal RNA is filed under the name Butyriboletus brunneus. Its description in RNAcentral is "eukaryotic LSU rRNA". The stretch from base 745 to 1379 matches the Rfam family "Eukaryotic large subunit ribosomal RNA", at positions 1 to 633 of the family's 3401-position model. The record is from RNAcentral. Lineage: Eukaryota; Fungi; Basidiomycota; Agaricomycetes; Boletales; Boletaceae.
GUCUUGGUCAUUUUAGAGGAAGUAAAAGUCGUAACAAGGUUUCCGUAGGUGAACCUGCGGAAGGAUCAUUAUUGAAUUCUGAGGGGGGAAGACGAGGAGUGCAGACUGUCGCUGGCCCCCAUGGGGCAUGUGCACGUCUUUCUUUUCGUUGACCUUUCUCUCACACAACACACCUGUGCACCUGUUGUAGGUCCUCGGAAGAGGAUCUAUGUUUUUUCACAUCACACACCGUCGUAUGUCUAUAGAAUGUAUUGAAGACCGUCUGAUGACGGUCGAUAAAUAUAAAUCAUACAACUUUCAGCAACGGAUCUCUUGGCUCUCGCAUCGAUGAAGAACGCAGCGAAUUGCGAUAAGUAAUGUGAAUUGCAGAUUUUCAGUGAAUCAUCGAAUCUUUGAACGCACCUUGCGCUCCUUGGUAUUCCGAGGAGCAUGCCUGUUUGAGUGUCAUUGAAUUUCUCAAACCUAUGUUUCUUUAGGACAUGGGCUUUGGAGUUGGGGGCUGCUGGUGGCGAAAAGCUGUCGGCUCUCCUGAAAUGCAUUAGCAAAGGAUGGCAAGUCUUUUGACGUGCACGGCCUUCGACGUGAUAAUGAUCGUUGUGGCUGGAGCGUCGGACAUGCAUGAAUCAUCUGUGCUGCUUCUAAUCCUACUUAGGGCUACCCUUGGCUUGGUCACUUAGCUACUAGUCGGUUGUGAGGCUGACGAACGUUGAGCGCGCUGAGCUAGGCUUCUCUCUAUUCGAAACUUGACCUCAAAUCAGGUAGGACUACCCGCUGAACUUAAGCAUAUCAAUAAGCGGAGGAAAAGAAACUAACAAGGAUUCCCCUAGUAACUGCGAGUGAAGCGGGAAGAGCUCAAAUUUUGAAUCUGGCAGUCUUUGGCUGUCCGAGUUGUAAUCUAGAGAAGUGUUUUCCGCGCUGGACCGUGUAUAAGUCUCCUGGAAGGGAGCGUCGUAGAGGGUGAGAAUCCCGUCUUUGACACGGACUACCAGUGCUAUGUGAUGCGCUCUCGACGAGUCGAGUUGUUUGGGAAUGCAGCUCAAAACGGGUGGUAAACUCCAUCUAAAGCUAAAUACAGGCGAGAGACCGAUAGCGAACAAGUACCGUGAGGGAAAGAUGAAAAGAACUUUGGAAAGAGAGUUAAACAGUACGUGAAAUUGCUGAAAGGGAAACGCUUGAUGUCAGUCGCGUUGGCUGGGGAUCAACCUUGCUUUGUGCUGGGUGUACUUCCUGGUCGACGGGUCAGCAUCAGUUUCAGUCGCUGUACAAGGGCGAGAGGAACGUGGCACUUCUUGGAGUGUGUUAUAGCCUUUCGUCAUAUGCAGUGGUCGGGACUGAGGAGCUCAGCACGGCUUCUUGCUUGUGAUCAGGAUGCUGGCAUA